Molecule: ribosomal RNA, 377 nt
Filed under: uncultured bacterium
Lineage: Bacteria
Description: bacterial SSU rRNA
Rfam family: Bacterial small subunit ribosomal RNA
Source: RNAcentral
UAAUACGUAGGGGGCAAGCGUUGUCCGGAUUUAUUGGGCGUAAAGAGCGUGUAGGCGGUUUGGUAGGUCUGCUGUGAAAACUCGAGGCUCAACCUCGAGACGCCGGCGGAAACCCCCAAGCUAGAGUCCGGAAGAGGAGAGUGGAAUUCCUGGUGUAGCGGUGAAAUGCGCAGAUAUCAGGAAGAACACCCGUGGCGAAGGCGGCUCUCUGGGACGGUACUGACGCUGAGACGCGAAAGCGUGGGGAGCGAACAGGAUUAGAUACCCUGGUAGUCCACGCCGUAAACGAUGAGUGCUAGGUGUGGGGGGUGUCGACUCCCCCCGUGCCGAAGCUAACGCAUUAAGCACUCCGCCUGGGGAGUACGGCCGCAAGGCUA